RNA transcript from Cryptomeria japonica (Japanese cedar), 2424 nucleotides. It is a transcript of the gene named alpha-humulene synthase-like, with no coding region annotated. Lineage: Eukaryota; Viridiplantae; Streptophyta; Pinopsida; Cupressales; Cupressaceae. The transcript is spliced from 9 exons. The record is from RefSeq and is a predicted model, not a curated record.
ACUGCGCAUUUCUUUGCAUAAUGUCUAAUUUGAAGGGAGACCACAUUUCUUCCACACCAACUAAUGCUUUCAAUCACUGGGAUGAUAGUUUUGUCCAAUCUAUCCAAACACCAAAUUAUGCAGGAUCUGAAUACCGCGAACGUGUGGAAACACUCGUGAAAGAAGUGAAAAUGUUGUUAAAAGAUAUGCAGAGUGGAGAAAACGAUAUAAUUGAACGGCUUGAGAUGGUUGAUGCACUGCAAUGCCUCGGAAUAGAUCGAUAUUUUCAGGCCGAGAUAAAAGAAGCUCUUGAUUACGUUUACCGAGCUUGGAAUGAAAGUGCGGGGAUAGGAUUAGGAUGUGAAAGCUGUACAAUGGAUUUGAAUGCCACAGCUUUAGGACUCAGACUUCUUCGACUCAAUCGUUAUCAUGUUUAUGCAGAUACGCUGAAGAAUUUCAAGCACAAUAACGGGCAGUUCAUUCUCUGUGGAGUAAAUGAUAAUGGUGAGAAUAAUAUUGAGGAAGAGCAUAUCAUGAGAAGUAUGCUCAAUCUCUUAAGAGUUUCAAGUGUGGCGUACCCUGAAGAAGUUCUUAUGGAAGAGGCUAAAGCAUUUAGUACUCAAUAUCUUAAAAAGUUAUUAGAAAAUUCUGGAGAUACGUGUGAGAAAAGAAGUUUUCUGAAAGAGGUGGAAUAUGCCCUCGUAUAUGAAUGGCCCUGCACCUUUAUUAGAUGGGAGGCACGGAAUUUCAUAGAAAUCUAUGAGCUGGAUAAUCAAAGAUUUUAUUGUUUUCUUUAGGUUGAAGACAAAAGGAUUUUAGAGCUCGCGAAAUUGGAUUUUAAUAUACUACAAUUUCAGUACAAGCUAGAGAUGAAAAAACUCUCAAGUUGGUGGGUAGAUUCUGGCAUCUCCAAGCUAGUUGCAACAAGGGAGCGGACAAUUGAAUUUCACUUUUGGGCAGUUAGUUUGGCAGACGAAGAGGAGCUUUCUACUAGCAGAGUUGCUUUCGCAAAAAUUGUAACUGCUAUGACAAUCAUGGAUGACAUUUAUGAUGACUAUGGAAUGCUCGAGGAACUCAAAUGUAUUACAGAGGCCAUUGCUCAAGGUUGGGAUGUUUCUAUAAUAAAAAACAUUACAAGCAACCUCAAGACAUGUAUUGAAUUUUGUUUCAAAACAAUUCUUGAAUUGACAAGUGAUGCUACUAAAAAGCAAGGGCGUGACAUGAUGCCUUUUGUUACAAAAGCAUGGGUAGAUUAUGUAGAAGCUUGUUUUGAGCAAGCACGAUGGAAAAUAACAAGAUAUCUUCCAACUUAUAAUGAGUAUAUGAAAUAUGCUGAAUUAUUUGUAGGAUUUGGACCAAUAUUGUUACAUACUGCUCUAUUAGGAUCUCGUAUUUUAUGUGAUGAUGAAAUUGAGAAGAUAUACCUUGAUAGAUCUAGAUUCUACCAGCUCAUGCCAGUGUGUAUACGAUUAAUUGAUGAUAUACAAGAUUUUGAGGAUGAGAGACUCCAUGGAAAAACUGCCUCAGCUAUUUCUUGUUAUAUGGGUGAUCAUCCUAGUUGCUCAGAAGGAGAGGCACUAAAUCACAUCACCAAACUCAAAAAUGAAUCAUUGAAGGAAUUGACAAGGGAAUUUUUAAAACCAGACAAUGUUUUGCUUGAUUGGGAGAAGUUUGGUGUCAAUGGUACUAGAGGAAUACAAUUUCUCUAUAUAUUUGGAGAUGGCUUCACAUAUUGUCAAAAGGAGGUCAAGAAUCAAAUAUUUAAAGUUUUUCUCGAUAUAAUAGAAGUAUAAAAAAGAAAGCAUUUUCAUCAUCUAAAACUAAAAUGCUUUCUUUACUCUAGAAUUCUAGUAAAUCAUAGACUUAGAUGAUACUUCUAAUUUUAUUCUAUUGUAAUAAUUUCUUUGUUACUAUGAUUCAUCUAAGCUUAUUUAGAUUGAAUUAGAACUUUGUUUUAGAUAGAGUUGACAUGUUGUAUGGUUUUCAUAUGUAGUGCCCCUCCCUGAUUCUUCUUUCUUUUUGUGCAUUGAUAGACUAUAUUGAUAUAGUUCAUACUAUUUUGUGAUGCUUUUGAUUAGAUGUUUAUGGACGCACUUAUAAUUUGGAUGCUUUAUUAUUGAUGAUAGAUGUAUCGUAUCUGCACUUGACAUUAUGCUUUCAUGUGGAUAAUGAUAUUCAUAGAUUAUUAUGAUGAUGGAUUACUAUUUGAUGAUCUAUGUGUAUUCAUUUUAUGUGUAUGGUUUAUAAUUGCUUAUGGUGAUUUGAUGGUAUCUUAUUAUGUACUAACCUUAUUUGAUUGUGUCUGUCUUCUACUAUGGUUUUGAUAGGGAUGAUGUCAUACCACUCAUUCAUGAGCAUGAUAUGACGUUGUGAUUCCUUUUCACUUGUCUAUUUAUUUCAUGAUAUAAGGUAUUGUACAUGUUGUUGUACAUGUAUUGGUGGUGA